Molecule: ribosomal RNA, 274 nt
Filed under: uncultured bacterium
Lineage: Bacteria
Description: partial 16S ribosomal RNA
Rfam family: Bacterial small subunit ribosomal RNA
Source: RNAcentral
AUACGGAGGGUGCAAGCGUUGUUCGGAAUUACUGGGCGUAAAGCGCGCGUAGGCGGUCUGUUAUGUCUGAUGUGAAAGUCCUCGGCUCAACCGGGGAAGUGCAUUUGAAACUGGCAGACUUGAGUACUGGAGGGGGUGGUGGAAUUCCCGGUGUAGAGGUGAAAUUCGUAGAUAUCGGGAGGAAUACCGGUGGCGAAGGCGACCACCUGGCCAGAUACUGACGCUGAGGUGCGAAAGCGUGGGGAGCAAACAGGAUUAGAUACCCCAGUAGUCC